GGAGGUAGUGACAAUAAAUCACAAUGCGGGACUAUUUAGUUUUGCAAUUGGAUUGAGAACAAUGUACAAGAGUUAUCGAUAAACAAUUGGAGGGCAAGUCUGGUGCCAGCAGCCGCGGUAAUUCCAGCUCCAAUAGCGUAUAUUAACGUUGUUGCAGUUAAAAAGCUCGUAGUUGAAGUGUGGGGUGAAAGGUUUGUCUUUUGUUUUAAAAGGUGUUCUGCUCACCCCCUCUCCAAUGUGUUGUUAUGGGUAUUAAUUUACUUGUAAUAGCUAUUGGUCAUUUACUGUGAGAAAAUUAGAGUGUUCAAAGCAGGCAUUUGCUUGAAUAUAUUAGCAUGGAAUAAUAGUAAAAGGCUUUUAUGGUCGAUUUAAUUGGUUUGUUCAUGAAAGCAAGAUUAAAAGGGACAGUUGGGGGUAUUCAUAUUCAAUAGUUAGAGGUGAAAUUCUCGGAUUUAUGGAAGAUGAACAAGUGCGAAAGCA
RNAcentral lists this ribosomal RNA (480 nucleotides) under Blastocystis sp. RNAcentral describes it as "SSU rRNA". It matches the Rfam family "Eukaryotic small subunit ribosomal RNA", at positions 460 to 953 of the family's 1831-position model. Lineage: Eukaryota; Bigyra; Opalinata; Blastocystidae. The record is from RNAcentral.